UCCUCAUUUUAUUAUUUGAGGUAGGGCCUGCUCAAUGCGAAAGUAAAUAGCCGCAGUAUUCUGACUGUGCGAAGGUAGCAUAAUAAAUUGGCUUUUAAUUGGAGUCUGGAAUGAAUGGUUUGACAAAGAUUUAACUGUCUUAAAGUAAUUAAUUUUGAAAUUAAAUUAUUUGUAAAAAUGCAGAUAUAAAAGAGAGGGACGAGAAGACCCUAUAGAUCUUUAAUAGAUUACUAAUAUAAUUCUUUUAUUAGUAAUUUUUUUUAUUUGGGGAAAAUCCUGAAAUAGUUUUUAAACUUCGGUUAAUUAAAAAAUCAUAAGAAUUAAUUUUUGAUCCAUUAAUCUUUGAAUAGGUUAGUGAAAAGAUGAAAAAGUUACCUUAGGGAUAACAGGACAAUGAUCUUCUUGGAGGUCUUAUUCAAGAAGACGUUUGUUACCUCGAUGUUGAAUUAAGUUAUCUUAUUAAAGAAGAAAUUUUUAUAGUG
Molecule: ribosomal RNA, 482 nt
Filed under: Coloceras hilli
Lineage: Eukaryota; Metazoa; Arthropoda; Insecta; Psocodea; Philopteridae
Description: partial 16S ribosomal RNA
Rfam family: Bacterial large subunit ribosomal RNA
Source: RNAcentral